RNAcentral lists this long non-coding RNA (881 nucleotides) under Brassica rapa (field mustard). RNAcentral describes it as "long non-coding RNA (BRAP_LNC005950)". Lineage: Eukaryota; Viridiplantae; Streptophyta; Magnoliopsida; Brassicales; Brassicaceae. The record is from RNAcentral.
ACAACUGAUCCAACAGAAAGACUUUGCAUCAAUAAAUAAGUACUGUCAAUUCCAAAAGCAUAGAAACAAAUGAUACAAUUGACAAUGAACUUUGAAGGAAAGCUAUGUCAUAUGCCUGCAAUACACGAAUAAAAACUUACUUAAGCUGAGAGUACAAAUAGAAAAUAAUUAGGAAUAAGCUUCAAAUCCCCUCUCAGAACAGCCUACGAUAAAAUACUGAAUACUAUUAUUGUUUUAAAGAUUUAGAUACCAAGCAGUCAUCAGGCAAACUAAAGACUUGUAUCUCAAAUCCAGUCAAUUCCUAGAAAGGAUUAAAGCGUAUGGUCUGAAGUAUUUAUCCUUACCCCAACUAAAUGCAAAAGAGAAAGAGAACGAUCAAAGGCAAUGCUUGACUUAUCCUUCUGGUUUUGAAAAAAAUUCCUAGGAAAACAUACCAAGUAUCUUGUUGAAGCCACAAAGCAGAAUGUAUUAUACAUUCCUUCCUUAGAAACCCGGUACCCCGACUAACGGAAUCCAUGAGACCAGGCAAGGAAUGAGAAAUUAGACAAACCAAACAAAAAAAGCAAGGUUCUGAGACGGCCUACAAGAAGCACUAAUCAGACCAAAUAUCCUAAAGAGGUGCCAAUAAUUUGAAAGAAAUAUCUUCAAUUACACAUCAAGCUUCCCACAAAAUCAAUUCAAAACCAUUGCACGGCUCUCAUCUACAUCUAUAACACUCGGAUCAAAUCCAUCUCCCAAUUCCCAAAAUAAGAAAUCGAAAUUGCAAUUCCUAUCCAAUCUCUAACGAAGACCUCGGGGAAGCUAAAAUCUGACUACCAUCGCAGUCACAUCACAAAGUAGACACGUAUUAUAAGAAAAUAAAAGGAAAAAAAAACAAAAAC